Molecule: microRNA precursor, 73 nt
Filed under: Pteropus vampyrus (large flying fox)
Lineage: Eukaryota; Metazoa; Chordata; Mammalia; Chiroptera; Pteropodidae
Description: miRNA (ENSPVAG00000028700.1)
Source: RNAcentral
CUGAGGAACUUGUUAAACUACAGAGCCUGAUUCAGCGGGUCUGAGAUUUUGCAUUUCUAACAAGUUCCUAGGU